This 497-nucleotide ribosomal RNA is filed under the name uncultured bacterium. RNAcentral's name for it is "partial 16S ribosomal RNA". It matches the Rfam family "Bacterial small subunit ribosomal RNA", at positions 28 to 507 of the family's 1533-position model. The record is from RNAcentral.
GAUGAACGCUGGCGGCGUGCCUAAUACAUGCAAGUCGAGCGAACAGACGAGGAGCUUGCUCCUCUGACGUUAGCGGCGGACGGGUGAGUAACACGUGGAUAACCUACCUAUAAGACUGGGAUAACUUCGGGAAACCGGAGCUAAUACCGGAUAAUAUAUUGAACCGCAUGGUUCAAUAGUGAAAGACGGUUUUGCUGUCACUUAUAGAUGGAUCCGCGCCGCAUUAGCUAGUUGGUAAGGUAACGGCUUACCAAGGCAACGAUGCGUAGCCGACCUGAGAGGGUGAUCGGCCACACUGGGACUGAGACACGGUCCAGACUCCUACGGGAGGCAGCAGUAGGGAAUCUUCCGCAAUGGGCGAGAGCCUGACGGAGCAACGCCGCGUGAGUGAUGAAGGUCUUCGGAUCGUAAAACUCUGUUAUUAGGGAAGAACAAAUGUGUAAGUAACUAUGCACGUCUUGACGGUACCUAAUCAGAAAGCCACGGCUAACUACGUG